UGUCUUUCUUAAUGGCCGAUAGUGUAGAAUCAGUUAAUUGAGCAUCUCUGAUCUAUUGUAGUAUUACAGGUUGGACAUUUAAAUUAGCUAAAUAAGCACUUUCAGCUUAAUUAGGAAGUUGAAUUUCCUACACAGCCUCUGAAAGCUUCCACUCAGAAGCCAUCAUACAAGCUAGUGUACCUACAUUCUUCUUGCUAAGUGCAUAUGCGAUUACAUUACACUUACCUGGAUGAUACAAGAUCUUACAGUCAUAAUCUUUUAGUAGUUCUAUCCAC
Molecule: long non-coding RNA, 275 nt
Filed under: Carica papaya (papaya)
Lineage: Eukaryota; Viridiplantae; Streptophyta; Magnoliopsida; Brassicales; Caricaceae
Description: long non-coding RNA (CPAP_LNC008911)
Source: RNAcentral